This 1299-nucleotide ribosomal RNA is filed under the name Ocellarnaca fuscotessellata. RNAcentral describes it as "16S ribosomal RNA". The stretch from base 846 to 1202 matches the Rfam family "Bacterial large subunit ribosomal RNA", at positions 2078 to 2643 of the family's 2925-position model. Lineage: Eukaryota; Metazoa; Arthropoda; Insecta; Orthoptera; Gryllacrididae. The record is from RNAcentral.
GAGUAAUUUAAUAAAAAUAAUUUUAUAGUAUGAGGUUAGAGUAUAAUUUAUAGAAAAGAUUAAAAGUUUUAUAGUGUAAUAGUAUUGUGAAAGAUUGAUGAAAUAGAAGAAAAUGAAUUUGUUUUAAAGUAAUUAUGUAAUGUACCUUGUGUAUCAGGGUUAAUUAAAAUUAUAUUAUGAAGUUAAUUAUUCUCGAUUUAAAGUGAGUAAAAAUAUUAAGAUUUAAGAUGUUGAAUAAUUUUAUUAAAUAAUAUUAUGGGAAUGAAAUGUUAAACGAACUUUAAGGUAUCUAGUUAUCUAAGAAAUGAAUUUAAUUCAGAUAUUAAUUUAUUGUUUAUUAUUGUUUAUGAAUAAUAUUUUUAAUAUUACUAAUUAAGGGGAUUAGCUCUUGAUUGUAAUUAAUAAUUAAUUUAUGUGAAUGGGAAAAUAAGACUUUAAAGUAGUUAAAUUUUUGGUGUGUUAUAACUUAUUUUAUAUGAGAUUAUAUUUAGUGAAUAAUUUUAAUUUUGUAUUAGAUUUAUUUUAAUAAUUAGUGAUAGAAUAAAAUAAUGAUUAAAUUAGUAUAAGGAAUGGAACAUUGUUAUUAAUAGAAGAAAAUUUAUAAUAAGGAAUUCGGCAAAAAUUAAUGCUCGCCUGUUUAACAAAAACAUGUCUUUUUGUUUAUUUAAAAAGUCUGGCCUGCCCACUGAAGUUUUGAAGGGCCGCGGUAUUUUGACUGUGCAAAGGUAGCAUAAUCAUUAGUCUUUUAAUUGAGGACUGGAAUGAAAGGUUGGACGAGGUAUUAACUGUCUCAUUAUAAAAGUUAGAAUUUAAUUUUUUAGUAAAAAAGCUAAAAUAUGUAUAGAGGACGAGAAGACCCUAUAAAGUUUAAUAUAUAAAUAUUUAUAAUAAAUUUAGUUGUAUUAUAGUUGUGAUUAUUAUUAUAUUUAGUUGGGGUGACUUAAAGAAUAAAUAAACUCUUUAUAAAUUUAAGACUAUUAUGUUAGAAUAAGUGAUCCAUUAUUAAUGAUUAAAAGAUUAAAUUACUUUAGGGAUAACAGCGUAAUUUUCUUUGAGAGUUCUUAUCGACAAGAGAGAUUGCGACCUCGAUGUUGAAUUAAGAAUAUUAAUGGGUGUAGAAGUUCAUUAAAUAAGUCUGUUCGACUUUUAAAUUCUUACAUGAUUUGAGUUCAGACCGGCGUGAGCCAGGUCGGUUUCUAUCCUUAUAAUUUUGUAACAUUUUAGUACGAAAGGACCAGAUGUUAGGUAGAUUAUUGUUGUUAAGGAAAAUAUUAAUAAGCUAUUUUGGCAGAAAAAGUG